Molecule: long non-coding RNA, 2779 nt
Organism: Macaca mulatta (Rhesus monkey)
Lineage: Eukaryota; Metazoa; Chordata; Mammalia; Primates; Cercopithecidae
Source: RefSeq, a predicted model, not a curated record
CGCCCUUGGCAGUGUGAGAUGGAAGAUGAUGUCGCAAGGGUGGCGGAGAAGCAGCUGGGCUGAGCUGUUAAAGCACAGAGACCGGGGCCAGACUCCUCAGCCUGAAAUCCUGCUUCCACCAAGCACUAGCUGGGUAAUUUCAGCAAAUGUGUGCUGUCUUCUGAGUCUGCUUGUCCGCUCCCUGGAUGUGUCACCUUGGAAGGUUUAUUUAUCUCCUCUGAUCCCAGUCAUUUUCCUGAUUUGAAAAAUACAUCAGUGGGCAGGAGAACGUGUGAAGACUGAAUGAAGUAAUGCAGUGAAUAAACUUACAGCAACGACUGGCACAAAGACAAGAAUGGAAAUGGCAGCACACGGUAGUCACCUCAAAACCACUUUCAAAAGGAGAGCCCGCACUGUUGUGUCCCCAGGACACCAGGGACUGCAUGGGCACCUUUUCUGUGCCCCCCAUCAUCACCUAGGCAACCCACCUAUCCUUUCUUGGUGAAGAUGAGCCUCUACCUUUUGUGUAUUCUCCCUUUGUGUUUUCAUCUCACAUGCCCUUCCUCGUCUGAAGUCUUGUGUUGAGGACAAAGCAGCCUAAGACGACCGAUGCAGUCUAAUAAACUGCACCAAGACAAGUGCUCAGCAGCAAAUCUAUUUUCCUGACAGUUGUAAGAUGCAAUCUCCUUGUUGUUGGAGGGUGUCAUGCACAGGGCUGGGCUCCUCCAGUCUGCACAUCCUCCAGAGCAUUGCAGUGUGACAGCCUUCAUUAGAAGAGAAACUAACCCCUGGACAAAAUAUUGCCACCCUGGAAAUUCGGCUCUGUGGGGUGCCAUGAAUAUCUUACCUUCUGACAACCAAGUUUCCUCCAGAACUGACAUAUUCUUGGCCAUGUGACAUGAUCUAAACUAAGUUUCCUGGUGGUUUUUUUUCUCUUUUUAAUUGAGGUUUUGCCUGACAAUCUAGAAACUGAACACACUCUGACAGGUGAUGCUAUUUGAAGCAUUUGUUACCGUGAGGAUAGGAGGAGGCGUGAGGCGGGGCCCCUAGCAAAUUCACCUCCCUCUGUCCCCAGAGAAAGUUUCUGAGCUUCGUGGAGCUCAUGUGCCUCAAGCACGUGGCUUUUGCCUUUCCCUUUUCCCGUGACACAAGUACACCUGUGGUAGCAAACGGGUCUGGAACACAUGUGCUGCAGCUGAGGAUCCAGCAAACCAUACCUGAGUGUGCACUGUGUGCCUGGCACUGUGUUCCACCUGGGAUGUGCAUGUUUGGUUUAAUCCUCCUUACCACCCCACAGGAUAGGUAUAUUUGUGUCCACAUUGCACAGAUGUGGAAACUGGGUAACUGAAAGGCUAAGUGCUAAGAUCGCUGAGCCAGUCUGUGACUCUAGCAGAGGCACUUAUCCAAGGAAGAUUUGGCCCCUCACCUCUGUCCUUUAAAAGGUGGGCGGAUUGGCCAGGAGCAGCCAGACUCGCGUUAAAUACUUGUGCUGUUUGAUUUCUUUUUAUUUUUCUGAUAUUUGUUCUCCUUGGAAGAAGAAAUGGACCAGGAAAGGUAGAUGGAAAUCUCUUUAAAUCGAAAAAUGAUCAUAAUGCAUAGAAUCACUGGAAGCACUUACAUUGCCAUGGAGAAGGAAGGGGUCGUCAUCACGUGGAUGUCAGCUCUCUUAGCAGCUUGUUUGUGCCCUACCUACAUCUGAGUGCCUCGAAUCCACCUUCAUGACAAGUAAAACAGGGGCCUCAGAAAGCAAGGGGAGGGGAAAGGGAGUUGGAGCGCCUCCUCGCCAUUGUAGAGAAGGCCUUGCUGCAAGCAUCACUUCAGAUUUGCCUCUGCUUGUGCAUAAACGCACAAAAAGAAGGAAGCAGACAAACAUUCUCAUGGACCCGCAGAAACAACAGACUGCAUUUUGCAAGUUUUCCCAUUUUCCCCGGAAAUGUUAUGCUCUAAAGAGCCUGGUGCUCAGCUGCAGGGAAGUGUUUGUGGUGUCCAAGUAGUGACUGCUGCCCAGACAGAGGAACUACUUGCACCUCCAUUCACCCAAUCCCAUCCACAUCUUUUCCCAGGGUACCCAGGCUCAUAAACUCCAGCAGAUCUCCACCUGGGUGUGCUGGGGUCUGUGCCAUAAGAGGCAGCAUGUGGUAGAAAGGGGCUCAAAUGAGAGUUAGCAGGCUUCAGUUGAGUCCGUCUCUGCCACUUCCAAGUCGGGUUAACUGGGUAAGCUAGGAGACGCUAAAACCCUGGCAACAUCACGCAGGGUGCGUGUGAAGAACAAAUGCAGUGGAGCUCAAUAAAGGGCUUUGUGAGCUCGAAAGCACAAUUCGAUGUCACCCCUUCCCUGACUAGCACGUGGGCUCCCCAGGUUGGACCCCCUUUCCCUCUCCCCUGCAUGUCCACUGCGGGCCUCAGUGUGUCUGGCGGGCAGGUAAGUGCCCAGGUCGCAUACAGCCCUGCGACCUCUGCAGAGGUGGCCGCUUCCUUCUUUGUAUCCAAGUCAUCCUUCCACAAAUACAGGACCUCUUUUUUGUUCUCAAUCGAGAAUAUUAGGAGAGUUCUCUACUCUCACUAUGGUGGCUCCCUUGCUUGUCCCAUGCACCCUGGCAGGAGGUCAGUGAGGGCAGGAUGGGGAGACCAAUUCUCUCUCUCCCUGACUCUCCACCACUCUCCCCCACCCUACCCCCAUCUCUCUCUGCCUUUGUGUAUGUCUGUGGUUCUCUGCCCCGCCACUGUCUCUCCCUCUCUCUCUCCUCUCCCUCUCUCCUUGCCUCUCCCCGCUUUCUCCCUCUCUCUCCCUCUCUCUCCC